This 1729-nucleotide small RNA is filed under the name Histoplasma capsulatum var. duboisii H88. RNAcentral describes it as "Histoplasma capsulatum H88 hypothetical RNA". Lineage: Eukaryota; Fungi; Ascomycota; Eurotiomycetes; Onygenales; Ajellomycetaceae. The record is from RNAcentral.
CCUUCACCAUCAUCCCCCUUCCCUUCCUUCUCCUUCCGUUUCUGUACAACGUCCCAAUUAUACACUCUGGCGGUUGCGACUUCGAGAGUCGUAAUCUGCUCCCGCAAAAACUCCAAGUCUUCUUCGCAGUUGGCGAGACUGACUUCAGCGGCGCGGAGCUUUUCUGUCAGCAGUUCCGCGGCUUCGUUGAUGGGGUAUGCAAGCAUGACGUUGGCACCGAGCCAGAGGAAGACUUCGUUUGUGUCCUUGGGCUGGAUUGUGGCGCGAGAGUAUAGAGUGUCGUUGAGUUCGAAGGUGGUCUCGAGAGGCGUAUCGGCGCCAACCUCUCUCCUGUUCUGCAACAGCGUCACCGUCUCCAGUGUCUUCUUGAUAUCAGGAAUCUUGUCCUUCAGGCCCUGGCCGCGACGUUGUGUGUUCAGCUCCAUGAACUGGUAUUUGGAUAUCAUCUCCUGGAACGAGCGCAGUGUGGGCUCGACGUCUGCGCGUGACGAGACAUAAUCUGCAACAUUAUCGACAAAUGGUGCGACGGGGAUGCCGCGCGGAUUGGUUGUCGACGGGUCGACGGCGGGGUUUUUCGCCUGGUUGUCGGACAUGAUGCCGCUGCGACUUGUUUAAAGGGAGAAGCCCCUCCCCCGUCGAACUAAGAGGUAUUGCAGGAAGACGGAAAAGUAACUGUUCGAGAGUUGGCAUACGGGGUUGGUGGGCGUGGAGUCGAAAUGUCUAUUUAUGUUGAAGCACCGACCGGAAUGACGUCUUGCAGCGUCAACAAACACCAACAAAGACACACUCAGCCCGCCUCACCCCAACACCGCACCUCAUCCAGGUAUAUAUAUCUAUAUAUAUUCGCAUCACGGGAGGAUGUCUCCUGGCAGCUCUCUCUAUCCACAAUGGUUCUCCUCCUCAUGACCCCGGCCAUAGCGGCUGCCCUCGACAGCUUGCCCGCCUCAAUCCGUGACGAGCUCUCCCUACCAACUGCUCCUGCGAGCGCCGCGAUAUCACACACACAGCUCACUGCCCUCUCCAGAUACCUUGUGUCCAACCCUCCAUUCACAGAGAAACCCACAGAUCCAUCUAAUGGAGCUGUCAAUCGAUGUGAGAGCUUCUCGCUCAACUCGCUUCUCAAGGGUACCAGGGUCUAUGCUUCCCCCCCUCCACCAAAACCGGAACCUACGCCCGAAUACCUCGCCCUAAAAGCUUCCCUCCUCGCCGCCGAGGAAGCAAGAAGGUACAAUGCUCUCCUAAACGCUGCCUCCUCAAGCCCUCCAUCUCGGAUUUGGGGACUCAACGACCCUCCAGCGACAAACAUAUAUUCACAUCCCAAACAACACCACCACAACAACGACAACAACAACAUAAACAUAAACACCAUCGACGAUCUCGACGCCGACGACCCCCUAACCCCAUCCGUGGUUCUCAACAUCCUUGUCUCGAUCCUCUUCACGGGUUUCGCAACGUACUGGGCCCUCUCCAACUUCCGCAUCCCGACCUUCUUCACAUUCACAUCCUCAGCGGCGCCGUCACAUCCCGGCACCGUCUCUUCACAGCCAGCACGGGUGUUUAUUUCAAUGCUCGUCGCACUGCUGGUGGGCGUGGCGGAGGUGGGUAUUUUUGCGCUGUAUUUGAGGAAAGUGGAGUUGGCGAGGGGAAGGGAAAGGGCGAUUGUUGAGAGGAAGGUCGUGAUUGGGGAGGUUAAGAUUGGCGGAGGUGACGGGAGGCAUGGUGGUGAUGA